AGUGAACGCUGGCGGCAGGCCUAAUACAUGCAAGUCGAACGGCAGCACAGUGGAGCUUGCUCCAUGGGUGGCGAGUGGCGGACGGGUGAGGAAUACAUGGGAAUCUGCCCAGUCGUGGGGGAUAACGUAGGGAAACUUACGCUAAUACCGCAUGCGCCCUUCGGGGGAAAGCCGGGGACCUUCGGGCCUGGCGCGAUUGGAUGAGCCCAUGUUCGAUUAGCUAGUUGGCGGGGUAAAGGCCCACCAAGGCGACGAUCGAUAGCUGGUCUGAGAGGAUGAUCAGCCACACUGGGACUGAGACACGGCCCAGACUCCUACGGGAGGCAGCAGUAGGGAAUAUUCGACAAUGGGCGCAAGCCUGAUCCAGCCAUGCCGCGUGAGUGAAGAAGGCCCUCGGGUUGUAAAGCUCUUUUGUCCGGGAAGAAAAGCAUCGGGCUAAUACCUCGGUGUUCUGACGGUACCGGAAGAAUAAGCACCGGCUAACUUCGUG
Molecule: ribosomal RNA, 490 nt
Filed under: uncultured bacterium
Lineage: Bacteria
Description: partial 16S ribosomal RNA
Rfam family: Bacterial small subunit ribosomal RNA
Source: RNAcentral